UACGGGGGGGGCAAGCGUUGUUCGGAAUUACUGGGCGUAAAGGGUUUGUAGGUGGCCCGCUAAGUCACACGUGAAAUCCCUCAGCUUAACUGGGGAACUGCGUGUGAGACUGGCAGGCUCGAGGGCAGGAGAGGAACGCGGAAUUCCAGGUGUAGCGGUGAAAUGCGUAGACAUCUGGAGGAACACCGGUGGCGAAGGCGGCGUUCUGGACUGUCUCUGACACUGAAGAACGAAAGCCAGGGGAGCAAACGGG
RNAcentral lists this ribosomal RNA (253 nucleotides) under uncultured bacterium. Its description in RNAcentral is "partial 16S ribosomal RNA". It matches the Rfam family "Bacterial small subunit ribosomal RNA", at positions 524 to 776 of the family's 1533-position model. The record is from RNAcentral.